GACGAACGCUGGCGGCGUGCUUAACACAUGCAAGUCGAACGCUGAAGCUCAGCUUUUGUUGGGUGGAUGAGUGGCGAACGGGUGAGUAACACGUGAGUAACCUGCCCCCUUCUUUGGGAUAACGCCCGGAAACGGGUGCUAAUACUGGAUAUUCACUGGUCUUCGCAUGGGGGCUGGUGGUAAUGGUUUUUCUGGCGGGGGAUGGGCCCGCGGCCUAUCGGCUUGUUGGUGGGGUGAUGGCCUACCAAGGCGUUGACGGGUAGCCGGCCUGAGAGGGUGACCGGUCACAUUGGGACGGUGAUACGUCCCAGACUCCGACGGGGGGCAGCAGUGGGGACUAUGGCACAAUGGGUGCAAGACUGAUGCAGCGACGCCGCGUGAGGGAUGGGGGUCGUCGGGUUGUGAACCUCUGUCGCUAAUGGUCAAGCCGCAACAAUGGUUGUGGUGAGGGUAGUGGGUAAAGAAGCGCCGGCUAACUACGUG
Molecule: ribosomal RNA, 483 nt
Filed under: uncultured bacterium
Lineage: Bacteria
Description: partial 16S ribosomal RNA
Rfam family: Bacterial small subunit ribosomal RNA
Source: RNAcentral